Molecule: ribosomal RNA, 253 nt
Filed under: uncultured bacterium
Lineage: Bacteria
Description: partial 16S ribosomal RNA
Rfam family: Bacterial small subunit ribosomal RNA
Source: RNAcentral
UACAUAGGGUGCAAGCGUUAAUCGGAAUUACUGGGCGUAAAGCGUGCGCAGGCGGUUGUGCAAGACCGAUGUGAAAUCCCCGGGCUUAACCUGGGAAUGGCAUUGGUGACUGCACGGCUAGAGUGUGUCAGAGGGGGGUAGAAUUCCACGUGUAGCAGUGAAAUGCGUAGAGAUGUGGAGGAAUACCGAUGGCGAAGGCAGCCCCCUGGGAUAACACUGACGCUCAUGCACGAAAGCGUGGGGAGCAAACAGG